GAUGAACGCUGGCGGCGUGCCUAAUACAUGCAAGUCGAGCGAACAGACGAGGAGCUUGCUCCUCUGACGUUAGCGGCGGACGGGUGAGUAACACGUGGAUAACCUACCUAUAAGACUGGGAUAACUUCGGGAAACCGGAGCUAAUACCGGAUAAUAUAUUGAACCGCAUGGUUCAAUAGUGAAAGACGGUUUUGCUGUCACUUAUAGAUGGAUCCGCGCCGCAUUAGCUAGUUGGUAAGGUAACGGCUUACCAAGGCAACGAUGCGUAGCCGACCUGAGGGGGUGAUCGGCCACACUGGAACUGAGACACGGUCCAGACUCCUACGGGAGGCAGCAGUAGGGAAUCUUCCGCAAUGGGCGAAAGCCUGGCGGAGCAACGCCGCGUGAGUGAUGAAGGUCUUCGGAUCGUAAAACUCUGUUAUUAGGGAAGAACAAAUGUGUAAGUAACUAUGCACGUCUUGACGGUACCUAAUCAGAAAGCCACGGCUAACUACGUG
RNAcentral lists this ribosomal RNA (497 nucleotides) under uncultured bacterium. RNAcentral describes it as "partial 16S ribosomal RNA". It matches the Rfam family "Bacterial small subunit ribosomal RNA", at positions 28 to 507 of the family's 1533-position model. The record is from RNAcentral.